GUGGGAGCCGAGCUUGCUCGCGAUGGGGGUGGCACAUUCAGCAAAUUUGGUGGCUGAUGGACCGCCAUCGCGAGCAAGCUCGGCUCCCAC
RNAcentral lists this unclassified non-coding RNA (90 nucleotides) under Pseudomonas prosekii. Lineage: Bacteria; Pseudomonadati; Pseudomonadota; Gammaproteobacteria; Pseudomonadales; Pseudomonadaceae. The record is from RNAcentral.